Molecule: microRNA, 24 nt
Filed under: Ananas comosus (pineapple)
Lineage: Eukaryota; Viridiplantae; Streptophyta; Magnoliopsida; Poales; Bromeliaceae
Description: microRNA s1410_c065b
Source: RNAcentral
AUCGUGGUCGGUUGUAUUAUCACA